UACGAAGGGGGCUAGCGUUGUUCGGAAUUACUGGGCGUAAAGCGUAUGCAGGCGGAUCGUUAAGUCGGGGGUGAAAUCCCGAGGCUCAACCUCGGAACUGCCUUCGAUACUGGCGAUCUUCGAGUCCGGGAGAGGUGAGUGGAACUCCGAGUGUAGAGGUGAAAUUCGUAGAUAUUCGCAAGAACACCAGUGGCGAAGGCGGCUCACUGGCCCGGUACUGACGCUGAGGCACGAAAGCGUGGGGAGCAAACAGG
This 254-nucleotide ribosomal RNA is filed under the name uncultured bacterium. Its description in RNAcentral is "partial 16S ribosomal RNA". It matches the Rfam family "Bacterial small subunit ribosomal RNA", at positions 524 to 776 of the family's 1533-position model. The record is from RNAcentral.